Molecule: ribosomal RNA, 253 nt
Filed under: uncultured bacterium
Lineage: Bacteria
Description: partial 16S ribosomal RNA
Rfam family: Bacterial small subunit ribosomal RNA
Source: RNAcentral
UACGUAGGGUGCAAGCGUUGUCCGGAAUUACUGGGCGUAAAGAGCUCGUAGGUGGUUUGUCGCGUUGUUCGUGAAAACUCACAGCUCAACUGUGGGCGUGCGGGCGAUACGGGCAGACUUGAGUACUGCAGGGGAGACUGGGAUUCCUGGUGUAGCGGUGGAAUGCGCAGAUAUCGGGAAGAACACCCGUGGCGAAGGCGGUUCUCUGGGACGGUACUGACGCUGAGGUGCGAAAGCCAGGGGAGCGAACGGG